CUUAAAUUGAAGAGUUUGAUCAUGGCUCAGAUUGAACGCUGGCGGCAGGCCUAACACAUGCAAGUCGAGCGGUAACAGGAAGAAAGCUUGCUUUCUUUGCUGACGAGCGGCGGACGGGUGAGUAAUGCCUGGGAAUAUGCCUUAACGUGGGGGAUAACUAUUGGAAACGAUAGCUAAUACCGCAUGAUGCCUACGGGCCAAAGAGGGGGACCUUCGGGCCUCUCGCGUUAAGAUUAGCCCAGGUGGGAUUAGCUAGUUGGUGAGGUAAUGGCUCACCAAGGCGACGAUCCCUAGCUGGUCUGAGAGGAUGAUCAGCCACACUGGAACUGAGACACGGUCCAGACUCCUACGGGAGGCAGCAGUGGGGAAUAUUGCACAAUGGGCGCAAGCCUGAUGCAGCCAUGCCGCGUGUAUGAAGAAGGCCUUCGGGUUGUAAAGUACUUUCAGUCGUGAGGAAGGCAUUUGCGUUAAUAGCGUAGGUGUUUGACGUUAGCGACAGAAGAAGCACCGGCUAACUCCGUGCCAGCAGCCGCGGUAAUACGGAGGGUGCGAGCGUUAAUCGGAAUUACUGGGCGUAAAGCGCAUGCAGGUGGUUCGUUAAGUCAGAUGUGAAAGCCCGGGGCUCAACCUCGGAAUUGCAUUUGAAACUGGCGGACUAGAGUGCUGUAGAGGGGGGUAGAAUUUCAGGUGUAGCGGUGAAAUGCGUAGAGAUCUGAAGGAAUACCGGUGGCGAAGGCGGCCCCCUGGACAGACACUGACACUCAGAUGCGAAAGCGUGGGGAGCAAACAGGAUUAGAUACCCUGGUAGUCCACGCCGUAAACGAUGUCUACUUGGAGGUUGUGGCCUUGAGCCGUGGCUUUCGGAGCUAACGCGUUAAGUAGACCGCCUGGGGAGUACGGUCGCAAGAUUAAAACUCAAAUGAAUUGACGGGGGCCCGCACAAGCGGUGGAGCAUGUGGUUUAAUUCGAUGCAACGCGAAGAACCUUACCUACUCUUGACAUCUAGAGAAGCCAGCGGAGACGCAGGUGUGCCUUCGGG
RNAcentral lists this ribosomal RNA (1039 nucleotides) under Vibrio renipiscarius. Its description in RNAcentral is "bacterial SSU rRNA". It matches the Rfam family "Bacterial small subunit ribosomal RNA", at positions 1 to 1024 of the family's 1533-position model. Lineage: Bacteria; Pseudomonadati; Pseudomonadota; Gammaproteobacteria; Vibrionales; Vibrionaceae. The record is from RNAcentral.